UUAAGUUCAGCGGGUAGUCCUACCUGAUUUGAGAUCGAACGGUCAAAAAGCUGUCUUCGCUGAGGAGAGACGUUUGUAAGCUCCAGCAAACCUCCAUCUCCGAAGGUUACUUGGCAAACAAUCACAAGCUUAGAUAGUUAUCACAACUGUGAUGCCACCAAAUACUGGCAAGCUGAUCUGUUUCAGAGGAGCCGACUGUA
RNAcentral lists this unclassified non-coding RNA (200 nucleotides) under Thelephoraceae sp. RNAcentral's name for it is "partial internal transcribed spacer 2". Lineage: Eukaryota; Fungi; Basidiomycota; Agaricomycetes; Thelephorales; Thelephoraceae. The record is from RNAcentral.